GGAUUGUGGCUCAGUGGUAGAGGACUUGCCUAGCAAGUGUAAGCACUGGGUUCAAUCCUCAGCACCA
RNAcentral lists this transfer RNA (67 nucleotides) under Marmota monax (woodchuck). Its description in RNAcentral is "tRNA.Undet". The record is from RNAcentral. Lineage: Eukaryota; Metazoa; Chordata; Mammalia; Rodentia; Sciuridae.